RNAcentral lists this non-coding RNA (643 nucleotides) under Erysiphe necator (grape powdery mildew). RNAcentral's name for it is "Bacterial small subunit ribosomal RNA". It matches the Rfam family "Bacterial small subunit ribosomal RNA", at positions 39 to 400 of the family's 1533-position model. Lineage: Eukaryota; Fungi; Ascomycota; Leotiomycetes; Helotiales; Erysiphaceae. The record is from Rfam by way of RNAcentral.
CUCAAGUGCUUGACACAUGCUAAUCUAACGUCUAAUUUAAAUAUUAACAAAAGAAUAUUAUAUCUUUUAUAUAAUUUACACUAAUAUAUUUUAUAUAUCUUUUGAGAGGAUUUUUUUAUUAGAAGUGGUGUACAGGUGAGUAAAGGAUAUUUUGGCUACCUUAAAGUGAGGUUAAUAAAUGCCUUAUAUUUAUAUCUGGAAGAGGGUGAUCUUAUAAUAUAUAACUAGAUGUUUUCCUUAGCGGAAACCUUCGGUGUGUGCCCUAUCAAUAGGAGGCAAGGGCAGCCUAAGGUUUCUUUCUCAAGGAUGGUUGAAAAAAUAAAAUAAUUUUACCGCCGGCCAGUACUUUAAAGGAAAUAACGAAUAUUACACAGCAGAGGGGGGGUGGAGGCAAAGAGCUUCUUUUUACCCCCUCGGUCAAUAAGGCCGAGGGGGGGGGGGCUGUUUUAUUUUUUUCCGCUUUAAGAGGACAAUUAAUAUUUCGGAUAGGUAGUAGUUAAAGUAAUGGUUUUACUAGCUUAUAAUUCCGUAAUCGUAACUGAGAGGUUUAUCGAUCACAUUGGGUCUGAAAAAACCCCAAUACGUAUAGUACAGCAGUGGGGAAUAUUGGUCAAUAGCCUAACGGCUGAACCAGCAACUUGGG